Long non-coding RNA from Ornithorhynchus anatinus (platypus), 570 nucleotides. RefSeq lists it as uncharacterized. Lineage: Eukaryota; Metazoa; Chordata; Mammalia; Monotremata; Ornithorhynchidae. The transcript has 3 exons. The record is from RefSeq and is a predicted model, not a curated record.
CGGCCCCGCCCUCGCCCCUUCCCUCCUUUCAGCUGGGAACCCGCCUGCUCCGGGAGAGACCCCUCCCCUAUCUGGUGUACCAGCCUCCGCCGUGGCAGGUUCAGUGCGUCUGCCAGAACCGCCGGGGCAGCCGCGACUGCGGGAAAGAUGGCCGCUCCCGACGCAGCAGCCUGGGCUCGGGGCCUGCAGGGCGCAGAGCCUCACUGAGCAAGGAAGCCUGCGAAGAUCCAUGCGAGAGGGCUGCCCUCACCAUCCAGACCCGCUACCGCCUCUACCAGUUGCAUAAGCAGGAGAAGAAAUAGGGGACGGGACGGGAUGGGACCGGACCAGAUCGGACCCAACCGACAGGCCGAGUUCCAUUUGCCCCCUCCCCGCGCCGUUUCGAUUCUUAAAGAGGCCGAAUGAUUCCCGCCCCCCGCUCCCCACACCGGCCGGGUGGCUCCUGAGAAUUAAAUACCUGAAUAAUUCAGGAAGAAGUUUGGCUGAUCUGAAUUGUCCCCGACCCUGCUCCCCUCAGCCCCGGGGAAGGGAAGGUUGGAGAUGGCCGUCCCUCGGCCCUUCUCCCUUCCU